UCUCCGUAGGUGAACCUGCGGAAGGAUCAUUAUUGUGUAACCGAGCUGCGAGCGCUUGCGCUCCUCCGUAAGGGCGUCCUCGCCCGGGUGCCCGCACCCGCCCUCCUCCCACCCCUCUGUGCACCCCCGCGUGCAUCCCCCCGUGCCUUGCCCGCAGCGGUGCUCUCGUUUUCACACAAACUUUGUAUGUCAAGACGUUCGUCUUCGUUGUUUUUGCUUUCGGCCACUAUAUACAACUUACAACAACGGAUCUGUUCGCUCUCGCACCGAAGAAAAACA
This 279-nucleotide unclassified non-coding RNA is filed under the name plant metagenome. Its description in RNAcentral is "partial contains small subunit ribosomal RNA, internal transcribed spacer 1, and 5.8S ribosomal RNA". The record is from RNAcentral.